RNAcentral lists this ribosomal RNA (253 nucleotides) under uncultured bacterium. Its description in RNAcentral is "partial 16S ribosomal RNA". It matches the Rfam family "Bacterial small subunit ribosomal RNA", at positions 524 to 776 of the family's 1533-position model. The record is from RNAcentral.
GACGAACCUUGCUAACGUUAUUCGGAAUUACUGGGCUUAAAGGGUGCGUAGGCGGUGCGGAAAGUUGGGUGUGAAAUCCCUCGGCUCAACCGAGGAAUUGCGCCCAAAACUGCCGCACUAGAGGAAGACAGAGGUACGCGGAACUUAGGGUGGAGCGGUGAAAUGCGUUGAUAUCCUAAGGAACACCGGUGGCGAAAGCGGCGUACUGGGUCUUAUCUGACGCUGAGGCACGAAAGCGUGGGGAGCAAACAGG